Molecule: ribosomal RNA, 261 nt
Filed under: uncultured bacterium
Lineage: Bacteria
Description: partial 16S ribosomal RNA
Rfam family: Bacterial small subunit ribosomal RNA
Source: RNAcentral
GUUCACCUACGGGGGGCAGCAGUGAGGAAUAUUGGUCAAUGGGCGCGAGCCUGAACCAGCCAAGUCGCGUGAGGGAUGACGGUCCUACGGAUUGUACACCUCUUUUGCCGGGGAGCAAGCGUGCGUUCGUGAACGCGCGUCGAGAGUACCCGGAGAAAAAGCAUCGGCUAACUACGUGCCAGCAGCCGCGGUAAUACGUAGGUGGCAAGCGUUGUCCGGAUUUAUUGGGCGUAAAGCGAGUGCAGGCGGUUCAAUAAGUCU